GUGCCAGCAGCCCGCGGUAAUUCCAGCUCCAAUAGCGUAUCUUAAAGUUGUUGCAGUUAAAAAGCUCGUAGUUGGAUCUCGGAUCCGGGCGAAUGGUCCGCCUCGCGGCGGUUUACUGUUCGAUGGCGUCGGUUGGGCGGCCUCUUCGGGGGUUCGUUUCGGUCGGCGUCGUUCCCGGUCUCUCACCCUCUGGACGCCCGUCGGUGCUCUUGACUGCAGUGCCGGCGGCGGCCAGGACGUUUACUUUGAAAAAAUUAGAGUGUUCCAAGCAGGCGCGUUCCGCCCGAAUAAUGGUGCAUGGAAUAAUAGAAUAGGACCUCGGUUCUAUUCGUUGGUUUUCGGAACCAGAGGUAAUGAUUAAGAGGGACAGACGGGGGCAUUCGUACGCGGUGUUAGAGGUGAAAUUGUCGGAUCGCCGCAAGACGAACUACUGCGAAAGCAUUU
This 444-nucleotide ribosomal RNA is filed under the name Lepidonotus squamatus. Its description in RNAcentral is "SSU rRNA". It matches the Rfam family "Eukaryotic small subunit ribosomal RNA", at positions 564 to 956 of the family's 1831-position model. Lineage: Eukaryota; Metazoa; Annelida; Polychaeta; Phyllodocida; Polynoidae. The record is from RNAcentral.